RNAcentral lists this ribosomal RNA (522 nucleotides) under uncultured bacterium. Its description in RNAcentral is "bacterial SSU rRNA". It matches the Rfam family "Bacterial small subunit ribosomal RNA", at positions 988 to 1509 of the family's 1533-position model. The record is from RNAcentral.
CCAGAGAACUUAGCAGAGAUGCUUUGGUGGCCCUCGGGAACUCUGAGACAGGUGCUGCAUGGCUGUCGUCAGCUCGUGUUGUGAAAUGUUGGGUUAAGUCCCGCAACGAGCGCAACCCUUAUCCUUUGUUGCCAGCGGCUCGGCCGGGAACUCAAAGGAGACUGCCGGUGAUAAACCGGAGGAAGGUGGGGAUGACGUCAAGUCAUCAUGGCCCUUACGGCCAGGGCUACACACGUGCUACAAUGGCGCAUACAAAGAGAAGCGACCUCGCGAGAGCAAGCGGACCUCAUAAAGUGCGUCGUAGUCCGGAUUGGAGUCUGCAACUCGACUCCAUGAAGUCGGAAUCGCUAGUAAUCGUAGAUCAGAAUGCUACGGUGAAUACGUUCCCGGGCCUUGUACACACCGCCCGUCACACCAUGGGAGUGGGUUGCAAAAGAAGUAGGUAGCUUAACCUUCGGGAGGGCGCUUACCACUUUGUGAUUCAUGACUGGGGUGAAGUCGUAACAAGGUAAGCGUAGCGAG